CCUACGGGAGGCUGCAGUGAGGAAUAUUGGUCAAUGGUCGGGAGACUGAACCAGCCAAGCCGCGUGAGGGAUGAAGGUACAGAGUAUCGUAAACCUCUUUUGUCAGGGAACAAAGGCGGGGACGUGUCCCCGGAUGAGUGUACCUGAAGAAAAAGCAUCGGCUAACUCCGUGCCAGCAGCCGCGGUAAUACGGAGGAUGCGGGCGUUAUCCGGAUUUAUGGGGUUUAAAGGGUGCGCAGGCGGUCUGUUAAGUCAGCGGUCAAAGCCCGGGGCUCAACCCCGGCCCGCCGUUGAAACUGGCAGUCUCGAGUUGGAGAGAAGUAUGCGGAAUGCGCGGUGUAGCGGUGAAAUGCAUAGAUAUCGCGCAGAACUCCGAUUGCGAAGGCAGCAUGCCGGCUCCACACUGACGCUGAGGCACGAAAGCGUGGGUAUCGAACAGGAUUAGAUACCCGGGUAGUC
This 459-nucleotide ribosomal RNA is filed under the name uncultured bacterium. RNAcentral describes it as "partial 16S ribosomal RNA". It matches the Rfam family "Bacterial small subunit ribosomal RNA", at positions 338 to 795 of the family's 1533-position model. The record is from RNAcentral.